AUUGAACGCUGGCGGCAUGCCUUACACAUGCAAGUCGAACGGCAGCACGGGAGCAAUCCUGGUGGCGAGUGGCGAACGGGUGAGUAAUAUAUCGGAACGUGCCCAGUCGUGGGGGGUAACGUAGCGAAAGCUACGCUAAUACCGCAUACGAUCUAUGGAUGAAAGCGGGGGAUCGCAAGACCUCGCGCGAUUGGAGCGGCCGAUAUCAGAUUAGGUAGUUGGUGAGGUAAAGGCUCACCAAGCCGACGAUCUGUAGCUGGUCUGAGAGGACGACCAGCCACACUGGGACUGAGACACGGCCCAGACUCCUACGGGAGGCAGCAGUGGGGAAUUUUGGACAAUGGGCGCAAGCCUGAUCCAGCAAUGCCGCGUGCAGGAUGAAGGCCUUCGGGUUGUAAACUGCUUUUGUACGGAACGAAACGGUGAGCUCUAAUACAGUUUGCUAAUGACGGUACCGUAAGAAUAAGCACCGGCUAACUACGUG
RNAcentral lists this ribosomal RNA (484 nucleotides) under uncultured bacterium. RNAcentral describes it as "bacterial SSU rRNA". It matches the Rfam family "Bacterial small subunit ribosomal RNA", at positions 30 to 507 of the family's 1533-position model. The record is from RNAcentral.